This 428-nucleotide ribosomal RNA is filed under the name Bacillota bacterium. RNAcentral's name for it is "Firmicutes bacterium partial 16S ribosomal RNA". It matches the Rfam family "Bacterial small subunit ribosomal RNA", at positions 355 to 776 of the family's 1533-position model. Lineage: Bacteria; Bacillati; Bacillota. The record is from RNAcentral.
UGGGGAAUCUUGCGCAAUGGGCGAAAGCCUGACGCAUCGACGCCGCGUGCGGGAAGAAGGCCUUCGGGUUGUAAACCGCUUUCAGGAGGGACGAAGCCACUCGGGUUAAUAGCCCAGAGGGUGACGGUACCUCCAGAAGAAGCCCCGGCUAACUACGUGCCAGCAGCCGCGGUAAUACGUAGGGGGCAAGCGUUGUCCGGAUUUAUUGGGCGUAAAGCGCGUGUAGGCGGCCAGGUAAGUCGGCUGUGAAAACUCGAGGCUCAACCUCGAGAUGUCGUCCGAAACUAUCUGGCUAGAGUCCGGAAGAGGAGAAUGGAAUUCCCGGUGUAGCGGUGAAAUGCGCAGAUAUCGGGAAGAACACCCGUGGCGAAGGCGGUUCUCUGGGACGGUACUGACGCUGAGACGCGAAAGCGUGGGGAGCGAACAGG